GCGCCCGUAGCUCAGGGGAUCAGAGCGCUGGCCUGCGGAGCCAGAGGUCGGAGGUUCAAGUCCUCCCGGGCGUACCA
This 77-nucleotide transfer RNA is filed under the name Candidatus Acetithermum autotrophicum. RNAcentral's name for it is "Candidatus Acetothermum autotrophicum tRNA-Arg". It matches the Rfam family "tRNA". From Rfam's summary of the family: Transfer RNA (tRNA) molecules are approximately 80 nucleotides in length. Their secondary structure includes four short double-helical elements and three loops (D, anti-codon, and T loops). Lineage: Bacteria; Candidatus Bipolaricaulota. The record is from RNAcentral. RNAcentral also lists the same sequence under 6 other names.